This is an RNA transcript of Sapajus apella (tufted capuchin), 8677 nucleotides long. It is a transcript of the gene named mechanistic target of rapamycin kinase, with no coding region annotated. Lineage: Eukaryota; Metazoa; Chordata; Mammalia; Primates; Cebidae. The record is from RefSeq and is a predicted model, not a curated record. The transcript has 57 exons.
GGAUUGGUCCUCAGGGCUCGGAACCCUCCCUCCCUCGCUCCCGGCUUAGAGGACAGCGGGGAAGGCGGGUGGUGAGGCAGGGGGCCUGAAGCGGCGGUACUGGUGCUGGCGGCGGCAGCUGAGGUCUUGGCCGAAGCCGCACGGAACCUCAGGGCAAGAUGCUUGGAACUGGACCUGCCGCCGCCACCACCACUGCCACCACAUCUAGCAAUGUGAGUGUUCUGCAGCAGUUUGCCAGUGGCCUGAAGAGCCGGAAUGAGGAGACCAGGGCCAAAGCUGCCAAGGAGCUCCAGCACUAUGUCACCAUGGAGCUCCGAGAGAUGAGUCAAGAGGAGUCUACUCGCUUCUAUGACCAGCUGAACCAUCACAUUUAUGAAUUGGUUUCCAGCUCAGAUGCCAAUGAGAGGAAAGGUGGCAUCUUGGCCAUAGCCAGCCUCAUAGGAGUGGAAGGUGGGAAUGCCACCCGAAUUGGCAGAUUUGCCAACUAUCUUCGGAACCUCCUCCCCUCCAAUGACCCAGUUGUCAUGGAAAUGGCAUCCAAGGCCAUUGGCCGCCUUGCCAUGGCAGGGGACACUUUCACUGCCGAGUAUGUGGAAUUUGAGGUGAAGCGAGCCCUGGAAUGGCUGGGUGCUGACCGCAAUGAGGGCCGGAGACACGCAGCUGUCCUGGUUCUCCGUGAGCUGGCCAUCAGCGUCCCUACCUUCUUCUUCCAGCAAGUGCAGCCCUUCUUUGACAACAUUUUUGUGGCCGUGUGGGACCCCAAACAGGCCAUCCGUGAGGGAGCUGUAGCCGCCCUUCGUGCCUGUCUGAUUCUCACCACCCAGCGUGAGCCGAAGGAGAUGCAGAAGCCUCAAUGGUACCGGCACACAUUUGAAGAAGCAGAGAAGGGGUUUGAUGAGACCUUGGCCAAAGAGAAGGGCAUGAAUCGGGAUGAUCGGAUCCAUGGAGCCUUGCUAAUCCUUAACGAGCUGGUCCGAAUCAGCAGCAUGGAGGGAGAGCGUCUGAGAGAAGAAAUGGAAGAAAUCACACAGCAGCAGCUGGUACACAACAAGUACUGCAAAGAUCUCAUGGGCUUUGGAACAAAGCCUCGUCACAUUACCCCCUUCACCGGUUUCCAGGCUGUGCAGCCCCAGCAGUCAAAUGCCUUGGUGGGGCUGCUGGGGUACAGCUCUCACCAAGGCCUCAUGGGAUUUGGGGCCUCCCCCAGCCCAGCUAAGUCCACCCUGGUGGAGAGCCGGUGUUGCAGAGACUUGAUGGAGGAGAAAUUUGAUCAGGUGUGCCAGUGGGUGCUGAAAUGCAGGAAUAGCAAGAACUCGCUGAUCCAAAUGACAAUCCUUAAUUUGUUGCCCCGCUUGGCUGCAUUCCGACCUUCUGCCUUCACAGAUACCCAGUAUCUCCAAGAUACCAUGAACCACGUCCUAAGCUGUGUCAAGAAGGAGAAGGAACGUACAGCAGCCUUCCAAGCCCUGGGGCUACUUUCCGUGGCUGUGAGGUCCGAGUUUAAGGUCUAUUUGCCUCGUGUGCUGGACAUAAUCCGAGCAGCCCUGCCCCCUAAGGACUUCGCCCAUAAGAGGCAGAAGGCAAUGCAGGUGGAUGCCACUGUCUUUACUUGCAUCAGCAUGCUGGCUCGAGCAAUGGGGCCAGGCAUCCAGCAGGAUAUCAAGGAGCUGCUGGAGCCCAUGCUGGCAGUGGGACUAAGCCCUGCCCUCACUGCGGUACUCUAUGACCUGAGCCGUCAGAUUCCACAGCUAAAGAAGGACAUUCAAGACGGGCUACUGAAAAUGCUGUCCCUGGUCCUUAUGCACAAACCGCUCCGCCACCCAGGCAUGCCCAAAGGCCUGGCCCAUCAGCUGGCCUCCCCUGGGCUCACGACUCUCCCUGAGGCCAGUGAUGUGGGCAGCAUCACUCUUGCCCUCCGAACGCUUGGCAGCUUUGAAUUUGAAGGUCACUCUCUGACCCAGUUCGUUCGCCACUGUGCAGAUCAUUUCCUGAACAGUGAGCACAAGGAGAUCCGCAUGGAGGCUGCCCGUACCUGUUCCCGCCUGCUCACACCCUCCAUCCACCUCAUCAGUGGCCAUGCUCAUGUGGUUAGCCAGACUGCAGUGCAAGUGGUGGCAGAUGUGCUCAGCAAACUGCUCGUGGUUGGGAUAACAGAUCCUGACCCUGACAUUCGCUAUUGUGUCUUGGCGUCCCUGGAUGAGCGCUUUGAUGCACACCUGGCCCAGGCGGAGAACUUGCAGGCCUUGUUUGUGGCUCUGAAUGACCAGGUGUUUGAGAUCCGGGAGCUGGCCAUCUGCACUGUGGGCCGACUCAGUAGCAUGAACCCCGCCUUUGUCAUGCCUUUCCUGCGCAAGAUGCUCAUCCAGAUUUUGACAGAGCUGGAGCACAGUGGGAUUGGAAGAAUCAAAGAGCAGAGUGCCCGCAUGCUGGGGCACCUGGUCUCCAAUGCCCCUAGACUCAUCCGCCCCUACAUGGAGCCUAUUCUGAAGGCAUUAAUUUUGAAACUGAAAGAUCCAGACCCUGAUCCAAACCCAGGUGUGAUCAACAAUGUCCUGGCCACAAUAGGAGAAUUGGCACAGGUUAGUGGCCUGGAAAUGAGAAAAUGGGUUGAUGAACUUUUUAUUAUCAUCAUGGACAUGCUCCAGGAUUCUUCUUUGUUGGCCAAAAGGCAGGUGGCUCUGUGGACCCUGGGACAGUUGGUGGCCAGCACUGGCUAUGUGGUAGAGCCCUACAGGAAGUACCCUACUUUGCUUGAGGUGCUACUGAAUUUUCUGAAGACUGAGCAGAACCAGGGUACACGCAGAGAGGCCAUCCGUGUGUUAGGGCUUUUAGGGGCUUUGGAUCCCUAUAAGCACAAAGUGAACAUUGGCAUGAUAGACCAGUCCCGGGAUGCCUCUGCUGUCAGCCUGUCAGAAUCCAAGUCAAGUCAGGAUUCCUCUGACUAUAGCACUAGUGAAAUGCUGGUCAACAUGGGAAACCUACCUCUGGAUGAGUUCUACCCAGCCGUGUCCAUGGUGGCCCUGAUGCGGAUCUUCCGAGACCAGUCACUCUCUCACCAUCACACCAUGGUUGUCCAGGCUAUCACCUUCAUCUUCAAGUCCCUGGGACUCAAAUGUGUGCAGUUCCUGCCCCAGGUCAUGCCCACGUUCCUUAAUGUCAUUCGGGUCUGUGAUGGAGCCAUCCGGGAAUUUUUGUUCCAGCAGCUGGGAAUGUUGGUGUCCUUUGUGAAGAGCCACAUCAGACCUUAUAUGGAUGAAAUAGUCACCCUCAUGAGAGAAUUCUGGGUCAUGAACACCUCAAUUCAGAGCACGAUCAUUCUUCUCAUUGAGCAAAUUGUGGUAGCUCUUGGGGGUGAAUUUAAGCUGUACCUGCCCCAGCUGAUCCCGCACAUGCUGCGUGUCUUCAUGCAUGACAACAGCCCAGGCCGCAUCGUCUCGAUCAAGUUAUUGGCUGCAAUCCAGCUGUUUGGUGCCAACCUGGAUGACUACCUGCAUUUGCUGCUGCCUCCUAUUGUGAAGUUGUUUGAUGCCCCUGAAGCUCCCCUGCCAUCUCGAAAGGCAGCGCUGGAGACCGUGGACCGUCUGACGGAGUCCCUGGAUUUCACUGACUAUGCCUCCCGCAUCAUUCACCCUAUUGUUCGAACACUGGACCAGAGCCCAGAACUGCGCUCCACAGCCAUGGACACACUGUCUUCACUUGUUUUUCAACUGGGGAAGAAGUACCAAAUUUUCAUUCCAAUGGUGAAUAAAGUUCUGGUGCGACACCGAAUCAAUCAUCAGCGCUAUGACGUGCUUAUCUGCAGAAUUGUUAAGGGUUACACACUUGCUGAUGAAGAGGAGGAUCCUUUGAUUUACCAGCAUCGAAUGCUUAGGAGUGGCCAGGGGGAUGCAUUGGCUAGUGGACCAGUGGAAACAGGACCCAUGAAGAAACUGCACGUCAGCACCAUCAACCUCCAAAGGGCAUGGGGCGCUGCCAGGAGGGUCUCCAAAGACGACUGGCUGGAAUGGCUGAGGCGGCUGAGCCUGGAGCUGCUGAAGGACUCAUCAUCGCCCUCCCUGCGAUCCUGCUGGGCCCUGGCGCAGGCCUACAACCCGAUGGCCAGGGAUCUCUUCAAUGCUGCAUUUGUGUCCUGCUGGUCUGAGCUGAAUGAAGAUCAACAGGAUGAGCUCAUCAGAAGCAUCGAGUUGGCCCUCACCUCACAAGACAUUGCUGAAGUCACACAAACCCUCUUAAACUUGGCUGAGUUCAUGGAACACAGUGACAAGGGCCCCCUGCCACUGAGAGACGACAAUGGCAUUGUUCUGCUGGGUGAGAGAGCUGCCAAGUGCCGAGCAUAUGCCAAAGCACUACACUACAAAGAACUGGAGUUCCAGAAAGGCCCCACCCCUGCCAUUCUAGAAUCUCUCAUCAGCAUUAAUAAUAAGCUACAGCAGCCAGAGGCAGCAGCCGGAGUGUUGGAAUAUGCCAUGAAACACUUUGGAGAGCUGGAGAUCCAGGCAACCUGGUAUGAGAAACUGCACGAGUGGGAGGAUGCUCUUGUGGCCUAUGAUAAGAAAAUGGACACCAACAAGGAUGACCCAGAGCUGAUGCUGGGCCGUAUGCGCUGCCUUGAGGCCUUGGGGGAAUGGGGUCAACUCCACCAGCAGUGCUGUGAAAAGUGGACCCUGGUUAAUGAUGAGACCCAAGCCAAGAUGGCCCGGAUGGCUGCUGCAGCUGCGUGGGGUUUAGGUCAGUGGGACAGCAUGGAAGAAUACACCUGUAUGAUCCCUCGCGACACCCAUGAUGGGGCAUUCUAUAGAGCUGUGCUGGCACUGCAUCAAGACCUCUUCUCCUUGGCACAACAGUGCAUUGACAAGGCCAGGGACCUGCUGGAUACUGAAUUAACUGCGAUGGCAGGAGAGAGUUACAGUCGGGCAUAUGGGGCCAUGGUUUCUUGCCACAUGCUGUCCGAGCUGGAGGAGGUUAUCCAGUACAAACUUGUCCCCGAGCGACGAGAGAUCAUCCGCCAGAUCUGGUGGGAGAGACUGCAGGGCUGCCAGCGUAUCGUAGAGGACUGGCAGAAAAUCCUUAUGGUGCGGUCCCUUGUGGUCAGCCCUCAUGAGGACAUGAGAACCUGGCUCAAGUAUGCAAGCCUGUGCGGCAAGAGUGGCAGGCUGGCUCUUGCUCAUAAAACCUUAGUGUUGCUCCUGGGAGUUGAUCCAUCUCGGCAACUUGACCAUCCUCUGCCCACAGUUCACCCUCAAGUGACCUAUGCCUACAUGAAAAACAUGUGGAAGAGUGCUCGCAAGAUUGAUGCCUUCCAGCACAUGCAGCAUUUUGUCCAGACCAUGCAGCAACAGGCCCAGCAUGCCAUCGCUACCGAGGACCAGCAGCAUAAGCAGGAACUGCACAAGCUCAUGGCCCGAUGCUUCCUGAAACUUGGAGAGUGGCAGCUGAAUCUACAGGGCAUCAACGAGAGCACAAUCCCCAAAGUGCUGCAGUACUACAGCGCUGCCACAGAACACGACCGCAGCUGGUACAAGGCCUGGCAUGCGUGGGCAGUGAUGAACUUCGAAGCCGUGCUACACUACAAACAUCAGAACCAAGCCCGCGAUGAGAAGAAGAAACUGCGUCAUGCCAGUGGGGCCAACAUCACCAACGCCACCACUGCCACCACCACGGCUGCCACUGCCACCACCACUGCCAGCACUGAGGGCAGCAACAGUGAGAGCGAUGCCGAGAGCACUGAGAACAGCCCCACCCCAUCGCCGCUGCAGAAGAAGGUCACUGAGGAUCUGUCCAAAACCCUCCUGAUGUACACAGUGCCUGCUGUCCAGGGCUUCUUCCGUUCCAUCUCCUUGUCACGAGGCAACAACCUCCAGGAUACACUCAGAGUUCUCACCUUAUGGUUUGAUUAUGGUCACUGGCCAGAUGUCAAUGAAGCCUUAGUGGAGGGGGUGAAAGCCAUCCAGAUUGAUACCUGGCUACAGGUUAUACCUCAGCUCAUUGCAAGAAUUGAUACGCCCAGACCCUUGGUGGGACGUCUCAUUCACCAGCUUCUCACAGACAUUGGUCGAUACCACCCUCAGGCCCUCAUCUACCCUCUGACAGUGGCUUCUAAGUCUACCACGACAGCCCGGCACAACGCAGCCAACAAGAUUCUGAAGAACAUGUGUGAGCACAGCAACACUCUGGUCCAGCAGGCCAUGAUGGUGAGUGAGGAACUGAUCCGAGUGGCCAUCCUCUGGCAUGAGAUGUGGCACGAAGGCCUAGAAGAGGCUUCUCGUUUGUACUUUGGAGAGAGGAAUGUGAAAGGCAUGUUUGAGGUGCUGGAGCCCUUGCAUGCUAUGAUGGAACGGGGCCCCCAGACUCUGAAGGAAACAUCCUUUAAUCAGGCCUAUGGUCGAGAUUUAAUGGAGGCCCAAGAAUGGUGCAGGAAGUACAUGAAAUCAGGGAAUGUCAAGGACCUCACUCAAGCCUGGGACCUCUAUUAUCAUGUGUUCCGACGAAUCUCAAAGCAGCUGCCUCAGCUCACAUCCUUAGAGCUGCAGUAUGUUUCCCCAAAACUUCUGAUGUGCCGGGACCUUGAAUUGGCUGUGCCAGGAACAUAUGACCCCAACCAGCCAAUCAUUCGCAUUCAGUCCAUAGCACCGUCUUUGCAAGUCAUCACAUCCAAGCAGAGGCCCCGGAAAUUGACACUUAUGGGCAGCAACGGGCAUGAGUUUGUUUUCCUUCUAAAAGGCCAUGAAGAUCUGCGGCAGGAUGAGCGUGUGAUGCAGCUCUUCGGCCUGGUUAACACCCUUCUGGCCAAUGACCCAACAUCUCUUCGGAAAAACCUCAGCAUCCAGAGAUAUGCCGUCAUCCCUUUAUCAACCAACUCUGGCCUCAUUGGCUGGGUCCCCCACUGUGACACGCUGCACGCCCUCAUCCGAGACUACAGGGAAAAGAAGAAGAUCCUUCUCAACAUUGAACAUCGCAUCAUGUUGCGGAUGGCUCCCGACUAUGACCACUUGACUCUGAUGCAGAAGGUGGAGGUGUUUGAGCAUGCUGUCAAUAAUACAGCUGGAGACGACCUGGCCAAGCUGCUGUGGCUGAAAAGCCCCAGCUCUGAGACACCCAUCCAACCUGAUGCUGGACCGUCUGAGUGGGAAGAUCCUGCACAUUGACUUUGGGGACUGCUUUGAGGUUGCUAUGACCCGAGAGAAGUUUCCAGAGAAGAUUCCAUUUAGACUAACAAGAAUGUUGACCAAUGCUAUGGAGGUUACAGGCCUGGAUGGCAACUACAGAAUCACAUGCCACACGGUGAUGGAGGUGCUACGGGAGCACAAGGACAGUGUCAUGGCCGUGCUGGAAGCCUUUGUCUAUGACCCCUUGCUGAACUGGAGGCUAAUGGACACAAAUACCAAAGGCAACAAGCGAUCCCGAACGAGGACAGAUUCCUACUCUGCUGGCCAGUCAGUAGAAAUUUUGGACGGUGUGGAACUUGGGGAACCAGCGCAUAAGAAAACGGGGACCACAGUGCCAGAAUCUAUUCAUUCUUUCAUUGGAGACGGUUUGGUGAAACCAGAGGCCCUAAAUAAGAAAGCUAUUCAGAUUAUUAACAGGGUUCGAGAUAAGCUUACUGGUCGGGACUUCUCUCACGAUGACACUUUGGAUGUUCCAACACAAGUUGAGCUGCUCAUCAAACAAGCGACAUCCCAUGAAAACCUCUGCCAGUGCUACAUUGGCUGGUGCCCUUUCUGGUAACUGGAGGCCCAGAUGUGCCCGUCAUGUUUUUUUCUGAGGCUUUUGUACAUUAGUAAAUGCUUCCACUAAACUGAAACCAUGGUGAAAAAGUUUGACUUUGUUAAAUAUUUUGAAAUGUAAAUGAAAAGAACUACUGUAUAUUAAAAGUUGGUUUGAACCAACUUUCUAGCUGCUGUUGAAGAAUAUAUUGUCAGAAACACAAGGCUUGAUUUGGUUCCCGGGACAGUGAAACACAGUACUACCACAUAAAUCAAGCCAUUCAUUUUGGGGAACAGAAGAUCCAUAACUUUAGAAAUACGGGUUUUGACUUAACUCACAAGAGAACUCAUCAUAAGUACUUGCUGAUAGAAGAAUGACCUAGUUGCUCCUCUCAACAUGGGUACAGCAAACUCAGCACAGCCAACCAGCCUCAGGUCAUGGAGGACGUGGAUUAGGAUCCUGGACUGUAAAGAUGCGGGAGAUGCCAACCUCACCCCUGCCACCCAUCCCAAGACCUCACUGGUCUGUGGACGGCAGCAGAAAUGUUUGCAAGAUACGCCAAAAUGAGUGCAAAAGGUCUGUCUUCCAUCAGACCCAGUGACGCCGUGACUCACACGCUUCAAUCCAAGACCCUACCGCUAGUAGGGGAGUUUAUUCAGAUCGCUGGCGGCCUCGGCUGAGCAGAUGCACAGAGGGGAUCACUGCACAGUGGGGCCACCCACACCGGCCUUCCGCAGCAUGGGUCUGGGAUGUUUUCAGUGGUCAGAAUACUCUGUUUAGAGCAAGGGCUCAGAAAACAGAAACACUGUCCUGGAGGUGCUGAACACAGGGAAGGGCUCGACAUAUUGGGAAUUAUGAGCAGAACAAAUACUCAACUAAAUGCACAAAGUAUAAAGUGUAGCCAUGUCUAGACACCAUGUUGUAUCAGAAUAAUUUUUGUGCCAAUAAACAACAUCAGAAUUUUAAACAUACA